The sequence is a small nuclear RNA, 118 nucleotides long. Its record names the gene U2. It matches the Rfam family "U2 spliceosomal RNA". Rfam says of the family: U2 is a small nuclear RNA (snRNA) component of the spliceosome (involved in pre-mRNA splicing). Complementary binding between U2 snRNA (in an area lying towards the 5' end but 3' to hairpin I) and the branchpoint sequence (BPS) of the intron results the bulging out of an unpaired adenosine, on the BPS, which initiates a nucleophilic attack at the intronic 5' splice site, thus starting the first of two transesterification reactions that mediate splicing. The record is from Ensembl.
AUUGCUUCUCAGCCUUUUGGCUAAGAUCAAGUGUAGUCUCCAUUCUUUUUCUAUCCCUUCUCACUCUUACAUAAACUUUAUUAUAUUUUAUUCAUUAUUAAAGGACUGAUGAAUCACU